Molecule: ribosomal RNA, 467 nt
Filed under: uncultured bacterium
Lineage: Bacteria
Description: partial 16S ribosomal RNA
Rfam family: Bacterial small subunit ribosomal RNA
Source: RNAcentral
GACGAACGCUGGCGGCGUGCUUAACACAUGCAAGUCGAACGGAAAGGCCCUGCUUUUGUGGGGUGCUCGAGUGGCGAACGGGUGAGUAACACGUGAGUAACCUGCCCUUGACUUUGGGAUAACUUCAGGAAACUGGGGCUAAUACCGGAUAGGAGCUCCUGCUGCCUGGUGGGGGUGGAAAGUUUCGGCGGUUGGGGAUGGACUGGCGGGAUAUCCGCUUGUUGGUGGGGUAGUGGCUUACCAAGGCUUUGACGGGUAGCCGGCCUGAGAGGGUGACCGGCCACAUUGGGACUGAGAUACGGCGCAGACUCCUACGGGAGGCAGCAGUGGGGAAUAUUGCACAAUGGGCGGAAGCCUGAUGCAGCAACGCCGCGUGCGGGAUGACGGCCUUCGGGUUGUAAACCGCUUUCGCCUGUGACGAAGCGUGAGUGACGGUAAUGGGUAAAGAAGCACCGGCUAACUACGUG